AUUGAACGCUGGCGGCAUGCCUUACACAUGCGAGUCGAACGGUAACAGGUUAAGCUGACGAGUGGCGAACGGGUGAGUAAUGUAUCGGAACGUGCCCAGUCGUGGGGGAUAACUGCUCGAAAGAGCAGCUAAUACCGCAUACGACCUGAGGGUGAAAGCGGGGGAUCGCAAGACCUCGCGCGAUUGGAGCGGCCGAUAUCAGAUUAGGUAGUUGGUGAGGUAAAGGCUCACCAAGCCGACGAUCUGUAGCUGGUCUGAGAGGACGACCAGCCACACUGGGACUGAGACACGGCCCAGACUCCUACGGGAGGCAGCAGUAGGGAAUUUUGGACAAUGGGCGCAAGCCUGAUCCAGCCAUGCCGCGUGCGGGAAGAAGGCCUUCGGGUUGUAAACCGCUUUUGUCAGGGAAGAAAAGGUUCUGGCUAAUACCUGGGACUCAUGACGGUACCUGAAGAAUAAGCACCGGCUAACUACGUG
RNAcentral lists this ribosomal RNA (477 nucleotides) under uncultured bacterium. RNAcentral's name for it is "partial 16S ribosomal RNA". It matches the Rfam family "Bacterial small subunit ribosomal RNA", at positions 30 to 507 of the family's 1533-position model. The record is from RNAcentral.